Neopelma chrysocephalum (saffron-crested tyrant-manakin) is the source of this 1282-nucleotide long non-coding RNA. RefSeq lists it as uncharacterized. The transcript has 9 exons. Lineage: Eukaryota; Metazoa; Chordata; Aves; Passeriformes; Pipridae. The record is from RefSeq and is a predicted model, not a curated record.
UAGCAUGUAGUGAAAGUAGCCAGAACUGCAUUCAAGGUUUUCACCUUUUGAUUCCCUGUUUGCCUCUGACAAGAAAUACAUGGAAGCUGACUUUUCCACUACCCCAUUGCAGCCAGUACUGCAGCUUGUGUAUGGAAGAGGGAGAUGCUGUUCCUUUGCAGGAGAUGCACAGAUGAUCAAGAGGGACAAGAGACACAGGAGACUGGCUUAAGGGUAUUCAGAUCACAAAGCUUUUUGAUGAAGAGAACAUGCAGCUGGCUGUUCCAGAAAAAUAAACACCACUUGUAAAUAUCUAGCCCUCUUGCCAUCUCUGAAGAAUUUCUGCCAGCUGAUUUGCAGUUUCCCUCUACACAGUUAUGAAGACUAAUGUGAGAAGAUUUUUAGUUUUGCUGUGAGAAUUCAUCUACUUCUGCCCCUCUUUCCUCAUCUGAAGUCAGUGAAGUGACGGUUCAGAUUUUUCUGAUUACUUAAUCCAAAACUGCAUCCUACUUUCAGCUAGUGCCGAGGUGAUCCAGCAGGCAAGAGCUUACUAUCAGCCAUGGGAAUUUACAAGCUUUCCAACAAGACUGAAGAAGUCCAGGAAACCACAAUGACAGAUCCACUUGAAACAACCAUUUCAUACCUUGGAAAAUGGUAAUGGGAGGAAGUGAUCUCCUGAUCUCCAGCUGUGGUUCUGUGUGCUGCUCUGAUCCCACCGAUGACUGGAUUUGAGAGUUAAGCACGGCUGGUCCUGCCUCUGCCCUGUGUCGGAUUUCACCCUUCUGCCCUUGCUCUGAAGAUUGAAAUAUCUGAGGAGGACACUUCUGCUCUCAGGCAGAGUUUUCACUGGGUUUGUGCUUCCCAUGCCUCUGUGAAAGUGCUGAAAACUCUACAGAUGGCUUUGAAAGCGGUCUGUGCUAUUCAGUGAAGCAUGUUGAGCAUACUAAAGGUUAACCUCAGGAAUAAAUCUGUUGCUGAAUAAGGGAGAUGAUCUGAACCACAGCCAAAACUUUGUGAUUUGCAAAUCCACCCUUUACCUGAGUCUUAAAUUAUUUCUGUGUGCUGGGAAUUCUUUUCUGGAAGAUGGAGAAGAACCACAUUUUCUGCCUUGGUGACCCAGCAGCCUUUUAAACAAAACAAUGGAAAGAGCCCAUCCUAGACUCCCUACAGGCAGCGGUCUUUGCUUCUUGAAGUUGUUUUCUGUGUGAGCAGUGAGACUGAAGAUUAUUUGUGACCUUCCAUAAAGACCAGGAAACAGUCUGUGGUUGGAAAUAUCAAUGUCAAACAGGUUCAAACUGAAGUU